This 676-nucleotide long non-coding RNA is filed under the name Physcomitrium patens. RNAcentral describes it as "long non-coding RNA (PPAT_LNC005417)". Lineage: Eukaryota; Viridiplantae; Streptophyta; Bryopsida; Funariales; Funariaceae. The record is from RNAcentral.
UAAAGCAUUCACGGUAGGGUCACACAAUCAAUUAUCUCUUGAAUGUAUCGUCUCUAUUUCCAAUAUCUGAACACACAAGGAAACUAUAAUCUCUUCUUUCACCUUAUCGGUCUCUUCCUUACAGCAAUUCAGUCAUACCAAUAACUGCUAUUUCCACCAAUAUAUUCACCCUCAUAAUCUCCAACUAUAAUACUGCACCCUCACAGCUUUCAGCACACAAUUACCCUCAUUCUAAUCACUCGAAUUCUUCACAUAGAAUUGCCAUUCACAUUACGGUAUUUCACACAAAUACAGACUCAUUUUCUUUGUUGAACUACAAUUAGAUUUCAGUAUUCAAUCUUUCUUCUUCUCAAAUAAUACCAAUCACAUUUCCAUUCCAUAAUUCACUUUACAAUAUUCAAAAACUCUCAAUCCUCUUAUUUAAAGAAAAUAACAAACAAAAGAAAAGAGGUAGCACCAAGCUUAUCCCGGCUCACAACUAUCAUAGCAAUGGCACUUUAAUUAAUUUCUACAACUCCUAUAUACUUUCCCUGAUUCUUCAGAUUUUAACUAUAAUUCUAUAAUUAACCACUUUUAAGAACUAAAUCACUCAUUUGUCCUCUUGAAUUUCCUAUUAUAUGGACUAUUAAUAUAUUUUACCAAUAUCUUUCAAAAAUAAAUUAAUAUCUAUUCUAUA